Molecule: ribosomal RNA, 288 nt
Filed under: Salmonella enterica subsp. enterica serovar Senftenberg
Lineage: Bacteria; Pseudomonadati; Pseudomonadota; Gammaproteobacteria; Enterobacterales; Enterobacteriaceae
Also listed under: 6 other names
Description: partial 23S ribosomal RNA
Rfam family: Bacterial large subunit ribosomal RNA
Source: RNAcentral
AAGGCGAGGCCGAAAGGCGUAGUCGAUGGGAAACGGGUUAAUAUUCCCGUACUUGGUGUUACUGCGAAGGGGGGACGGAGAAGGCUAUGUUGGCCGGGCGACGGUUGUCCCGGUUUAAGCGUGUAGGUGUGUGUUCCAGGUAAAUCCGGUUCACUUUAACACUGAGGCGUGACGACGAGGCACUACGGUGCUGAAGCAACAAAUGCCCUGCUUCCAGGAAAAGCCUCUAAGCAUCAGGUAACAUCAAAUCGUACCCCAAACCGACACAGGUGGUCAGGUAGAGAAUAC